This 1452-nucleotide ribosomal RNA is filed under the name uncultured organism. RNAcentral describes it as "SSU rRNA". It matches the Rfam family "Bacterial small subunit ribosomal RNA". The record is from RNAcentral.
GAUGAACGCUUGCUACAGGCUUAACACAUGCAAGUCGAGGGGCAGCAUCAUCAAAGCUUGCUUUGAUGGAUGGCGACCGGCGCACGGGUGAGUAACACGUAUCCAACCUGCCGACAACACUGGGAUAGCCUUUCGAAAGAAAGAUUAAUACCGGAUGGCAUAGUUUUCCCGCAUGGGAUAAUUAUUAAAGAAUUUCGGUUGUCGAUGGGGAUGCGUUCCAUUAGGCAGUUGGCGGGGUAACGGCCCACCAAACCUACGAUGGAUAGGGGUUCUGAGAGGAAGGUCCCCCCCAUUGGAACUGAGACACGGUCCAAACUCCUACGGGAGGCAGCAGUGAGGAAUAUUGGUCAAUGGACGAGAGUCUGAACCAGCCAAGUAGCGUGAAGGAUGACUGCCCUAUGGGUUGUAAACUUCUUUUAUACGGGAAUAAAGUGAGCCACGUGUGGCUUUUUGUAUGUACCGUAUGAAUAAGGAUCGGCUAACUCCGUGCCAGCAGCCGCGGUAAUACGGAGGAUUCGAGCGUUAUCCGGAUUUAUUGGGUUUAAAGGGAGCGUAGGCGGGUUGUUAAGUCAGUUGUGAAAGUUUGCGGCUCAACCGUAAAAUUGCAGUUGAUACUGGCGACCUUGAGUGCAACAGAGGUAGGCGGAAUUCGUGGUGUAGCGGUGAAAUGCUUAGAUAUCACGAAGAACUCCGAUUGCGAAGGCAGCUUACUGGAUUGUAACUGACGCUGAUGCUCGAAAGUGUGGGUAUCAAACAGGAUUAGAUACCCUGGUAGUCCACACAGUAAACGAUGAAUACUCGCUGUUGGCGAUAUACAGUCAGCGGCCAAGCGAAAGCAUUAAGUAUUCCACCUGGGGAGUACGCCGGCAACGGUGAAACUCAAAGGAAUUGACGGGGGCCCGCACAAGCGGAGGAACAUGUGGUUUAAUUCGAUGAUACGCGAGGAACCUUACCCGGGCUUAAAUUGCAACUGACGGAACCGGAAACGGUUCUUUCUUCGGACAGUUGUGAAGGUGCUGCAUGGUUGUCGUCAGCUCGUGCCGUGAGGUGUCGGCUUAAGUGCCAUAACGAGCGCAACCCUUACGGGUAGUUACCAUCAGGUUAUGCUGGGGACUCUACCCGGACUGCCGUCGUAAGAUGUGAGGAAGGUGGGGAUGACGUCAAAUCAGCACGGCCCUUACGUCCGGGGCUACACACGUGUUACAAUGGGGGGUACAGAAGGCAGCUACACGGCGACGUGGUGCUAAUCCCAAAAGCCUCUCUCAGUUCGGAUUGGAGUCUGCAACCCGACUCCAUGAAGCUGGAUUCGCUAGUAAUCGCGCAUCAGCCACGGCGCGGUGAAUACGUUCCCGGGCCUUGUACACACCGCCCGUCAAGCCAUGAAAGCCGGGGGUACCUGAAGUACGUAACCGCGAGGAGCGUCCUAGGGUAAAACUGGUGAUUGGGGCUAAG